This 75-nucleotide transfer RNA is filed under the name Pareuchiloglanis sichuanensis. RNAcentral's name for it is "tRNA-Leu". It matches the Rfam family "tRNA". Rfam says of the family: Transfer RNA (tRNA) molecules are approximately 80 nucleotides in length. Their secondary structure includes four short double-helical elements and three loops (D, anti-codon, and T loops). The record is from RNAcentral. Lineage: Eukaryota; Metazoa; Chordata; Actinopteri; Siluriformes; Sisoridae.
AUUGAGAUGGCAGAGCCCGGCAAUUGCAAAAGACCUAAGUCCUUUCUCUCGGAGGUUCAAAUCCCCCUCUUAAUA